This 2656-nucleotide long non-coding RNA is filed under the name Homo sapiens (human). RNAcentral describes it as "HSALNT0295144". Lineage: Eukaryota; Metazoa; Chordata; Mammalia; Primates; Hominidae. The record is from RNAcentral.
AUUACAAUAACAAUACCUCCUCUCAUAGAAUAGCCAGCAAGUCUCCACUAAAUAACAGUGCCUUGAUUUUAUAGAUGUUUCAUCAUGGAUAUUGAGUUAAUGUGAACCAUUUGUAGACACAGGAGUUUAUUAAAGACUUAUAUAAUAUCUUUCAAGUAUUUAGAAUAGUGUUGAAAUUAAGCCUGCAUCCCCACGAUUUUCAGCGGUGCUGAUGCCUAAUAAACUCAACCCCUUGCAUGCCAAAAUUGGCUUAAAGCCCAUCUGUUACCCAAGCUACACUUCAAGCAUCGAGGUUCAAAAAUGUGAUUUUGAAUAUGCAAGAGUUUGAGGAAUUCACUACUCACACUUUCUUGAACAGUCUAUCCAAGUGCAUCAAGCAAAAUGUGAGUAAAGAAAUUUUGAGCAAAGGAUUGAUAGUAAUGUUGAAUACAUUUAAUAGUAGAUCAAAGAUUAAAAGGUGAAAGUGAGGGUGAGAAGAGUGUAUGAAUGCUUUGUGUUCUGACAAAGAGAAUGUAGCACCCAGGUCCUACCUGCUUGGAUGCAUUGCCAGUGCCCACGGUAGGCCAUUUUAUCCAGGUUUUUAGGUAUUGUCUUAUUUUGUUUGUUUUUUUUCUUUUCAGGAGUCUUAGUCCAAGACCAAUAACUCCGUAACUGGUAGAUUUGGAAGACUUUAAUAGUGCUUAACAUUUUGUACAUAGCUUUAUAACAGUUUUCUUUUUCUUUUUUUCUGAGAGAUUCUUUUCAAUAUACCCCAUCAUGGUUGAACUCAAAAAUCAUUGCUUAUUUAAAAUCUACAACUGCUGACGUUUUGUAACGUUCGCAUUCCAGAUACAACAGAGAAAUGCAUAAUGUCCAGUCAAUUUAUUAAAGUUCCAAAGUCGGUCGCGCGCAGUGGCUCACGCCUGUAAUCUCAACACUUCGGGAGGCCGAGGCGUGUGGAUCACGAGAUUUCAAUAUGAUUAAAGCAGGAGUGAGGACACAGCGAAAGUGAGACAAGGAAAAGAGAACAAAAUAAAACAGGAAAGACAGAAAAGCCAAUACCACACGUGUUAAGAGUUUCAAGGAAAAUAUGUUGGGAGUUCCUGGCAUAGAGAAUGUCACAAAGACAUGUUUUCAAUAGUAGUGCUAUCCCGAGGGCAGAGAAGACCCAGAGAAAGCCCAAGUGGCUGCUGGAACAAAAUCAGACACCGUGCCACCUGUCCACACUCCUUGGCUCUGCCAUCAUGCUGAAGAUCGCUUUAAAGGACUGGCUUCCCUCCCCCCAAAAUUAAAAGAGCACAGACUGAGAAACUGAAUGUGGGAGACAGCAGUGGAUUAUGCUGUUCUCAGGGGUCACCUCAGGUUUGGAAGCAUUCUUUCAAAUUAACCCAUCUCAGGCCAUCUGCAGAGAAGAAAGGUGGUACCUAACUUUUUUUCUUGUCGGCAUUUGGUAGGGGUGUUUUAUUGACCAAAUAUGUUCCCACAACCUCGUUUUUUGUGACUAACUAAAUAUAGUAGAGUUUUAAAUUUUAUCAUCAAAAUCUAUAGACAAUUUUUGAUGAAAAUAGACUCCAUCUCUAUGUCCUGCUUUUCUUCUUCUUAUUAAUUACAUUGCUGUAUAAAAGAACAAGACUUCAGCAUCAAGAAUAUCUUGUCUCUUGGCAUUGAAUUUAUACAAGGUGCUCUUUCUUUAAUGCUGUCUCAAAGGACAUAUUUUUACUCAUUAAAAAGGAAGAUCGGAAUCUAGUUGUAUGCACUGCUCCAACAUAUUAAUAAUUAAAAUUAGGAGGUAAAUGUGGUCAAAGCUAUAGAAAGACGGAGAUGUCAUUUAUAUGGAUUACUCUAUAGCACUCUACAAACAGAAAUUGUUAAAUAAUAGUUUAUAUAAAUAUUUUGUAGCAUUUCAAAUAUUUGAGUGCUUGAAGUUUCUCCUCUUCUAUAGUUCAGAUUAUCAAUUUGAAGACUUACUCCGCUAGUUAAUAUGUUUUUAGUCUCGUUUGAGUAUUAUAUAAAAGCAAUUUUCAGUUAAAUGUGUUCCGCUUACAUAAAACGUUACAAAUUAUUGAGGAUUUAAUUACUUAUUCAUGUUCCUGUAAUGUCUUUAGAAGAUUUUCUUAUUAUUACCUAUCAAUAUAUGUAUGCUUUGUCAAAGAAAAAUCAAACAUAUAUAUCAUUGAAAUUGAAACUUUUUAAAAGUACUUAUUAAUUCUAUUGAAAAACCACAUCCAUAGGAACAAUUACAAUAUAAUAUUGUGAACAUGUAAACAUAUACCCUAUGUCUAUUUUAUGUAUAAGCAUGUAUGAUUAAAAAUAUAGUGAAGAAUUUUUAAACCUAGUAUUAUAAAGUAAAAAUUAGUUAACUUCCGAUGAUUAUUUGUUAAUUAAGAUAAAAUUAUUUUGAUUUGGGUGAUUUUAAAUAAAGAAAAAUAUUAAAUUACAUGACAAAAAUUCUUUAUAAAAUGUUUAUGAUUUUUACAUUGGUUUUAUCACUUUUCCCACUAUUUUAUUUUAAGAUGACCUGCCUUGUUUAAAACACUGUAUUCAUCUUAGUUAAAUUAGAUUCCAUUUGUAAAAUAAUUAACAAAUGAUUUGCUCUAUUGUACAGUGCGGUUAUAAACUGAGUCAGUAUCUCAAGAUUUGAUCCCCAUUAUCAUCAUCUGUGGCCCUAUUUGUUUUA